GGGUGAGUAACACGUGAGUAACCUGCCCUUAACUCUGGGAUAAGCCUGGGAAACUGGGUCUAAUACCGGAUAUGACUCCUCAUCGCAUGGUGGGGGGUGGAAAGCUUUAUUGUGGUUUUGGAUGGACUCGCGGCCUAUCAGCUUGUUGGUGAGGUAAUGGCUCACCAAGGCGACGACGGGUAGCCGGCCUGAGAGGGUGACCGGCCACACUGGGUCUGAGACACGGCCCAGACUCCUACGGGAGGCAGCAGUGGGGAAUAUUGCACAAUGGGCGAAAGCCUGAUGCAGCGACGCCGCGUGAGGGAUGACGGCCUUCGGGUUGUAAACCUCUUUCAGUAGGGAAGAAGCGAAAGUGACGGUACCUGCAGAAGAAGCGCCGGCUAACUACGUGCCAGCAGCCGCGGUAAUACGUAGGGCGCAAGCGUUAUCCGGAAUUAUUGGGCGUAAAGAGCUCGUAGGCGGUUUGUCGCGUCUGCCGUGAAAGUCCGGGGCUCAACUCCGGAUCUGCGGUGGGUACGGGCAGACUAGAGUGAUGUAGGGGAGACUGGAAUUCCUGGUGUAGCGGUGAAAUGCGCAGAUAUCAGGAGGAACACCGAUGGCGAAGGCAGGUCUCUGGGCAUUAACUGACGCUGAGGAGCGAAAGCAUGGGGAGCGAACAGGAUUAGAUACCCUGGUAGUCCAUGCCGUAAACGUUGGGCACUAGGUGUGGGGGACAUUCCACGUUUUCCGUACCGUAGCUAACGCAUUAAGUGCCCCGCCUGGGGAGUACGGCCGCAAGGCUAAAACUCAAAGGAAUUGACGGGGGCCCGCACAAGCGGCGGAGCAUGCGGAUUAAUUCGAUGCAACGCGAAGAA
Molecule: ribosomal RNA, 854 nt
Filed under: uncultured bacterium
Lineage: Bacteria
Description: bacterial SSU rRNA
Rfam family: Bacterial small subunit ribosomal RNA
Source: RNAcentral